Molecule: ribosomal RNA, 373 nt
Filed under: uncultured soil bacterium
Lineage: Bacteria
Description: bacterial SSU rRNA
Rfam family: Bacterial small subunit ribosomal RNA
Source: RNAcentral
AGAACGAACGCUGGCGGCAUGCCUAAUACAUGCAAGUCGAACGAAGGCUUCGGCCUUAGUGGCGCACGGGUGCGUAACGCGUGGGAAUCUGCCCCUUGGUUCGGAAUAACAGUUGGAAACGACUGCUAAUACCGGAUGAUGACGAAAGUCCAAAGAUUUAUCGCCAAGGGAUGAGCCCGCGUAGGAUUAGCUAGUUGGUGAGGUAAAGGCUCACCAAGGCGACGAUCCUUAGCUGGUCUGAGAGGAUGAUCAGCCACACUGGGACUGAGACACGGCCCAGACUCCUACGGGAGCAGCAGUAGGGAAUAUUGGACAAGUGGGCGAAAGCCUAGAUCCAGCAAUGCCGCGUGAGUGAGUAGAAGGUCCUUAGGUU